AAGUCGUAACAAGGUCUCCGUAGGUGAACCUGCGGAGGGAUCAUUACCGAGUGAGGGCCUCCGGGUCCGACCUCCAACCCUUUGUGAACACAUCCCGUUGCUUCGGGGGCGACCCUGCCGGGCGCCCCCGGAGGACCAUCAAAACACUGCAUCUUUGCGUCGGAGUUUACGAGUAAAUCGAAACAAAACUUUCAACAACGGAUCUCUUGGUUCUG
Molecule: unclassified non-coding RNA, 215 nt
Filed under: Zymoseptoria verkleyi
Lineage: Eukaryota; Fungi; Ascomycota; Dothideomycetes; Mycosphaerellales; Mycosphaerellaceae
Description: partial internal transcribed spacer region
Rfam family: Eukaryotic small subunit ribosomal RNA (bases 1-46)
Source: RNAcentral